RNAcentral lists this long non-coding RNA (1475 nucleotides) under Serinus canaria (Common canary). Its description in RNAcentral is "lncRNA (ENSSCAG00000006810.1)". Lineage: Eukaryota; Metazoa; Chordata; Aves; Passeriformes; Fringillidae. The record is from RNAcentral.
GCCAGAGCUGCUGGAUCCCUCCUGGAAUAAAUCAGCUCCUGCUUUGCAUGGCCAGGUUUGCCCUCCUGGGUGAGGGCAAGGCCGGGAUCUGAUCUCGCCAUCGCAUCUGGCUCCGGCAGGGACACCAGGCCUGCAAUUAACAGGGGGGGCAUUAAUUAGGGAGGGCACUUGACGAGGCCAGCUCCCAGCUGGGAACAGCCUCAUCCAUCCUGGGACAGCCAGAGAGGUCUGAGUGCUGCACAGGGCCCCAAACCCCCAAAGGAGAGGUUGGGGCUCAAAUUAAGGAUUUUAUCCACCCCAAACCUGGGGUUUUGUCCCAAAUUAAGGAUUUUAUCCACUCCAAACCUGGGGUUGGGGCUCAAAUUUAGGAUUUUAUCCAUCCCAAACCUGAGGUUUUGUCCCAAAUUAAGGAUUUUAUCCACCCCAAACCUGGGGUUUUGGGCCCAAAUUAAGGAUUUUAUCCAUCCCAAACCUGGGGUUUUGGCCCAAAUUAAGGAUUUUAUCCACCCCAAACUUGUGUCAUCCCCUUGCAACCACCAGGAUGAGUGGUUGGGGCUCAAAUUUAGGAUUUUAUUCAUCCCAAACCUCUUUCAGCCCUUUGCACUCAUCAGAACAAGUGGUUUUGGACUCAAAUAAAGGAUUUUAUUCACUCCAAACCUGGGGUUUUGGCCCAAAUUAAGGAUUUUGUUUGCUCCAAACUUGUGUCAACCCCUUGCACCCACCAGAAGAAGUGGUUUGGGCCCAAAUUAAGGAUUUUAUCCACCCCAAACCUGAGGUUUUGUCCCAAAUUAAGGAUUUUAUCCUCCCCCCAUNNNNNNNNNNNNNNNNNNNNNNNNNCCCCCCAUGCCCGGGGUGGGUCGGAGCUGGAAUGGGAGGAUUUGCAGGACCAGGUGGGAAUUCUGUGCCCUCUCCCCACUGCCGGGAGCCCUCGCAGCCCUCGGGACCUUUCGGGGUGAUCCCCACCCAGGUCCCGUCCCCCCACAAAGCCCCGAAGGGCCCCGGCAGCCCCCGGGAGGAGCCGGGGCCGCUGCGGGUCCCUGCUCGCUCCGACCCGUCCCGGUGUUGCAAUUCCAGGGAAGCAUUUCCCAGGUAAGGCCCGGUCUGGGAACGCCCUGGGAACGUCAGGAGAGGGUGGGAGGCUCCUUAAAAACCCGGCUGGGCCGGCGGGAUGGGUGCGAGGCAAGGAGAGAGCGGCCGAACCGAACGCCCGACGGACGGACACAGCGGGACCGCCGGCAGGAUGCAGGGAACCAUGGCGGAGUGCACGGAGCUGGAAUGGGCCGUGCAGGUGCUGGUGAACAACUUUGACAAGUACUCGAGCCGCUGCUGCUGCUGCAAGAACCCGCGGCGCAUCAGCAAGAAGGAUUUUCGCAAGAUGCUGAGCCGAGAGCUCAACCACAUGCUGACGGUGAGCCCGGGGGCUGCGGGGAGGGGUCUCGGUGAUGGGGAGGGGUCUCGGUGGUGGGGAGGGGUCU